This 759-nucleotide ribosomal RNA is filed under the name uncultured bacterium. Its description in RNAcentral is "bacterial SSU rRNA". It matches the Rfam family "Bacterial small subunit ribosomal RNA", at positions 33 to 787 of the family's 1533-position model. The record is from RNAcentral.
ACGCUGGCGGCAGGCCUAACACAUGCAAGUCGAGCGGUAGAGAGGAGCUUGCUUCUCUUGAGAGCGGCGGACGGGUGAGUAAUGCCUAGGAAUCUGCCUGGUAGUGGGGGAUAACGUUCGGAAACGGACGCUAAUACCGCAUACGUCCUACGGGAGAAAGCAGGGGACCUUCGGGCCUUGCGCUAUCAGAUGAGCCUAGGUCGGAUUAGCUAGUUGGUGGGGUAAUGGCUCACCAAGGCGACGAUCCGUAACUGGUCUGAGAGGAUGAUCAGUCACACUGGAACUGAGACACGGUCCAGACUCCUACGGGAGGCAGCAGUGGGGAAUAUUGGACAAUGGGCGAAAGCCUAAUCCAGCCAUGCCGCGUGUGUGAAGAAGGUCUUCGGAUUGUAAAGCACUUUAAGUUGGGAGGAAGGGUUGUAGAUUAAUACUCUGCAAUUUUGACGUUACCGACAGAAUAAGCACCGGCUAACUCUGUGCCAGCAGCCGCGGUAAUACAGAGGGUGCAAGCGUUAAUCGGAAUUACUGGGCGUAAAGCGCGCGUAGGUGGUUAGUUAAGUUGGAUGUGAAAUCUCCGGGCUCAACCUGGGAACUGCAUUCAAAACUGACUGACUAGAGUAUGGUAGAGGGUGGUGGAAUUUCCUGUGUAGCGGUGAAAUGCGUAGAUAUAGGAAGGAACACCAGUGGCGAAGGCGACCACCUGGACUGAUACUGACACUGAGGUGCGAAAGCGUGGGGAGCAAACAGGAUUAGAUACCC